UCCCCUAGUAACGGCGAGUGAAGCGGGAAAAGCUCAAAUUUGAAAUCUGGCGGUCUACGGCCGUCCGAGUUGUAGUCUAGAGAGGUGUCUUCUGCGUCGGACCAUGCACAAGUCCCUUGGAACAGGGCGUCAUAGAGGGUGAGAAUCCCGUCCGUGGCAUGGACUCCCGGUGCUUUGUGAUGCGCCUUCGAAGAGUCGAGUUGUUUGGGAAUGCAGCUCAAAAUGGGUGGUAAAUUCCAUCUAAAGCUAAAUACAGGCGAGAGACCGAUAGCGAACAAGUACCGUGAGGGAAAGAUGAAAAGCACUUUGGAAAGAGAGUUAAACAGUACGUGAAAUUGUUGAAAGGGAAACGCUUGGAGUCAGUCGCGUUUGCCGGGACUCAGCCUUGCUUCUGCUUGGUGCACUUCCUGGUACACGGGCCAGCAUCGAUUUUGAUCGCCGGAAAAAGGCUUGGGGAAGGUGGCACCUUCGGGUGUGUUAUAGCCCCUUGUUGUAUACGGUGGUUGGGAUUGAGGACCGCAGCACGCCUUUUGGUCGGGGUUCGCCCACGCCACGUGCUUAGGAUGCUGGCGUAAUGGCUUUAAACGACCCGUCUUGAAACACGGACCAAGGAGUCUAACAUGCCUGCGAGUGUUUGGGUGUAAAACCCAGGCGCGUAAUGAAAAGUGAAAGGUUGGGACUCUUCGCUGAGGCACCGACGCCCGAUCCUGACGUUCUCUGACGGAUUUGAGGUAGAGCAUGUAUGUUGGGACCCGAAAAGAUGGUGAACUAUGCCUGAAUAGGGCGAAGCCAGA
Molecule: ribosomal RNA, 794 nt
Filed under: Pseudohydnum gelatinosum
Lineage: Eukaryota; Fungi; Basidiomycota; Agaricomycetes; Auriculariales
Description: partial large subunit ribosomal RNA
Rfam family: Eukaryotic large subunit ribosomal RNA
Source: RNAcentral